CGAACGGGCCGUGACUGGCGCGCUGGGAUGGGACGGACCAUCAGGGAGCGGCCCGAGCGGGAAGAGUGCCGUGCGCCUGGGCCGAACGU
Molecule: regulatory RNA element, 89 nt
Organism: Streptomyces sp. NRRL B-3648
Lineage: Bacteria; Bacillati; Actinomycetota; Actinomycetes; Kitasatosporales; Streptomycetaceae
Rfam family: ZMP/ZTP riboswitch aptamer (pfl RNA motif)
About the family: Previously known as pfl RNA. ZMP is also known as AICAR.
Source: Rfam